UAAGGAAUAUUGCUCAAUGGGAGAAAUCCUGAAGCAGCAACGCCGCGUGGAGGAUGAAGGGUCUAUGACUUGUAAACUCCUGUAAAGAAGGAAAAAAUUCCCCGUUGAUGGGAGAUGAUGGUACUUCUGGAGUAAGCCCCGGCUAACUACGUGCCAGCAGCCGCGGUAAUACGUAGGGGGCAAGCGUUGUCCGGAUUUACUGGGUGUAAAGGGUGCUCAGGCGGAUUUGUAAGUCAGAGGUGAAAUCUUACAGCUUAACUGUGAAACUGCCUUUGAUACUGCAAGCCUAGAGUAUGGAAGAGAGUGAUGGAAUAUCUGGUGUAGCAGUGAAAUGCGUAGAUAUCAGAUAGAACACCAAUGGCGAAGGCAGUCACUUGGUCCAUUACUGACGCUAAAGCACGAAAGCGUGGGUAGCAAACA
RNAcentral lists this ribosomal RNA (420 nucleotides) under uncultured bacterium. RNAcentral describes it as "bacterial SSU rRNA". It matches the Rfam family "Bacterial small subunit ribosomal RNA", at positions 355 to 774 of the family's 1533-position model. The record is from RNAcentral.